Raphanus sativus (radish) is the source of this 1129-nucleotide long non-coding RNA. RefSeq lists it as uncharacterized. The record is from RefSeq and is a predicted model, not a curated record. NCBI's taxonomy places the organism in Eukaryota, Viridiplantae, Streptophyta, Magnoliopsida, Brassicales, Brassicaceae. The transcript is spliced from 6 exons.
GAAACACAACGUUUUCAAUUACGUAGCUGACCUUCCGUCUCCUUCAUCGCAAGAACUCAUUAACAGAUCAAUCUAUCACCCAUUAAUAUUUCGCCCACGAUUUGGAUUCAAUGCGAUAUUUUUGUUGUUCAAGGCGGUGGAAACGACUAUAAGAAGUGGUGUAGUUUUGUAUGAGAUUAGGAGGACACAAGAGCUUGCCAUCUUCCAUCAACACAAAAUCCUCCUUGAUUCUAAGGGGACCGGGCCAGAGCCAUAACCAUGGACUCCCAGAUCUUACUCUGUCGGACAGAUCUUCCAAGCAUCUCACCGUUGCGGAGAUUCUUGCUUGGCUUAACAACGGCAGCAGUGAAAAUGGCGGUUCUUGGUUGGCUCAACGGUGAGAGUCCGCCUUCACUAAGAUUUCAUCUAGAGACACACACGUUUCUUUGAUCUUGUACACUAGAGCAUCAAUCAAGGACUUGCACAUUUGAAAAAGAUGAAGAAGCAGUAUAUGGUGGUGCUGCAUAUGUGUCCGUGGAGGACCAGAAGAAGCGCGUUUAGCUAUGGAGAGUACUUGGAACUUAUAGAGUGUGAGUAUGAUCUCAAGAGAUGUGUAGACUUUUACAAGCUGAGUCACAACGUCCCCAAUUCUGAUGAAUAAACCUCUUAUCUUAUACUCAUGUAAGUGACCUUACAAAGGAAGAUGAUCCCCUGAAUCCAGCUGUAACUAGGGUGAUGGUGUAAGGGAAUGUAGGAAACAGAAACCACAGUUUUCAAAGUUGUAACCUGGUGAUGACUGAGCCCACUGUAGGAACUGUUGAGAAAGAGUUGGCGACAGCAAAGUAAUAAGAACAGACGAGAGAGAAUGAGAUGGAUGAGAAGAGAGGACACACCACAAGAGAAGCUGCAUAGAUGCUGGAGACUUAUAGAGAUGGAGGCGGUGUCUCUCAACUCAAAAGAGGGGCAGAAUAUGGUGGAGGUUGUAAACGCCUACACGUCUAUUUCAACUUCUAGAAUAACCACAAUAUGUGACAAGAAUAAGUCACAAUUUUAUAUUUUACUAUAUUUGAUUCAACUUAAUAGAUUUAUUGUACCAAACGAAAACCAAUAUUUUCAAUUUGUCUUUCAAUGGAAAACACUUCUUAUGUAA